RNAcentral lists this small RNA (125 nucleotides) under Arabidopsis thaliana (thale cress). RNAcentral describes it as "ATSL178470". Lineage: Eukaryota; Viridiplantae; Streptophyta; Magnoliopsida; Brassicales; Brassicaceae. The record is from RNAcentral.
UUGAGAAAAAAAUAUCCAAAAUUGUUAUGGAUCUAGAUCCAACAUAGAGGUUGGGUUGUAAAUAAGUGAAAACUCUAGUUUUACUUGUCUUUUACUAUUAUUCUGAAUUGAAAUAAAUAAAUAAA